Molecule: transfer RNA, 74 nt
Filed under: Gammaproteobacteria bacterium
Lineage: Bacteria; Pseudomonadati; Pseudomonadota; Gammaproteobacteria
Description: tRNA-Met
Rfam family: tRNA
About the family: Transfer RNA (tRNA) molecules are approximately 80 nucleotides in length. Their secondary structure includes four short double-helical elements and three loops (D, anti-codon, and T loops).
Source: RNAcentral
GGCUAUGUAGCUCAGCCGGUUAGAGCGCGGGACUCAUAAUCUCGAGGUCGGUGGUUCAAGUCCACCCAUAGCCA